GCGUAGAGAUGUGGAGGAACACCAGUGGCGAAGGCGACUCUCUGGUCUGUAACUGACGCUGAGGCGCGAAAGCGUGGGGAGCGAACAGGAUUAGAUACCCUGGUAGUCCACGCCGUAAACGAUGAGUGCUAAGUGUUAGAGGGUUUCCGCCCUUUAGUGCUGCAGCAAACGCAUUAAGCACUCCGCCUGGGGAGUACGGUCGCAAGACUGAAACUCAAAGGAAUUGACGGGGGCCCGCACAAGCGGUGGAGCAUGUGGUUUAAUUCGAAGCAACGCGAAGAACCUUACCAGGUCUUGACAUCCUUCGCUACUUCUAGAGAUAGAAGGUUCCCCUUCGGGGGACGAAGUGACAGGUGGUGCAUGGUUGUCGUCAGCUCGUGUCGUGAGAUGUUGGGUUAAGUCCCGCAACGAGCGCAACCCUUGAUCUUAGUUGCCAGCAUUCAGUUGGGCACUCUAAGGUGACUGCCGGUGACAAACCGGAGGAAGGUGGGG
RNAcentral lists this ribosomal RNA (492 nucleotides) under Bacillus pumilus. Its description in RNAcentral is "bacterial SSU rRNA". It matches the Rfam family "Bacterial small subunit ribosomal RNA", at positions 688 to 1178 of the family's 1533-position model. The record is from RNAcentral. Lineage: Bacteria; Bacillati; Bacillota; Bacilli; Caryophanales; Bacillaceae.